This is a long non-coding RNA of Podarcis muralis (Common wall lizard), 2612 nucleotides long. The record is from Ensembl. Lineage: Eukaryota; Metazoa; Chordata; Lepidosauria; Squamata; Lacertidae.
AUGAGUGCACAACCCUAGAGUCUGUCAAGACUGGCCCGUAUGGGCAGGGGUACCUUUACCUUUUAUACAUAUAUACCACUGGAGCCUACAAUGCUCACAGCAUUAACACCCCAAUAGUGCCUUGCUUCCCCCAUAGCCACAGCCUUGGAUUUGAGCAGAAAUCAAACAUGGUUCUCUCUCCCUGUGACUUCCAAGCCUGCUGCUUUUCCGGCUUCCAGCUCUUAGCUUAAAUCACUGCACUCUCCACUCUGGCCUUUGUUUUUCUAACUACUAGCCAGUUGAGGAAGGGAGGCACACCCAUUUUGUUUCUGGCACAGAUCCACUUCCUUUGUUCCCCUUAAUGGCCCAUUACCUAGGCUAUCACCUCACCAGGUAUUUACAUUUUAACACUUGCUGGAUCUAGGGGUAAUAAGGGUCUUGACAUACCCCCCACCCCAAUGUGGGCAGAGCAGGAAUCAAAUGAAUCAAUAACCUUAUAUCCUCCUGAUGUUUUUUAGCUGCGGUUUAUCUUACACCUUGUUUCUUUUAGGUUUUCAACCCCACUAUAUCUGCAAGUGAAUGGAAUUUGAAUGAUGUGGAGGCCAAUUUGUCCUCGUUUGUGUUUUUGCAUCAGGACACAGAUGCCAACGGUGGAUCUGGAGAAGAAUGCAAAUAAAAGGUCCUCCCGAGUGUUAAAUCCCCAAGUUAAUGCCUCUUGCUCAGGGAGAGACGUCAUUCUGGAAAGCAUCUGUCUGCACUUUUGGAAGAGCAACACUAUGAAUGUACCAAACAGUUCAUCUUUUCACACUGGGUCUAGAACAGCACCUUCCUUCUUUCCUGCUGUGGACUUUAAAAUCCCCAUCUCAGUUACAUCCCAUCGAACCUGAUCUCCCGGAAUGAGAAUGAUGAGUUUUCUUUUGCUUAGCUUAAACUAUUUAUGCUUUCCCUCCCCCCCCCCGGGGGGGGGGGGAACAUCUAGCAGCCUGAAUGUAAAGAAGUGGAAGUCAGUCACUCAUAACAGAUACACAAAUGUGAUGCAGUCAUUUUUGUUUCUCUGUCAAAUGUUGUGAGUGACAGUUAGCUGUCGAAGGGAUUAUCUGUCUGUUUUUGAAACUCCCAUCAUGCUACAAAUGAAGCUUUUAUUUCUGAACUGCUACUGACAAUCAGUGAGGAGGUGAUCCCUACACACCGCUUUGGUCCUGUCCAAUGCUCUGUGUCCAGUUUUUUCUCAUGAGAAAUCUUAGACCUCAAAAAAAAAGGUACGUAUCUUCCCAUGUUCAGUCUGUGUCCCAUGAUCUCACAGGGACCGUCCUCGUCAUUGUCUCAUCUCUCCUGUUUUAUUAUUGGAGCCUGAAAGGUCAUCUCUAAUUUGUGCCUAAUUCCCCAUUCUGGUUACAUCAGCAUAUAGUGCUAUAUUGACUGUUGUGCCAAACCUUGACAUUAUCAGGACCAGCUUGACAAAUGCCAAAUCUAGCUUGGAGCCAGCUGCAUGUCUUACUCGUUCACACAAAAGGACUGUGCUAAAAUUGAAAUUAUUUGGGGAGGGUUGAAUAAAAAAUUGGAUGUGCUGCUCAGAAUGCUAAUAUAUAUUCUUCUAGCUUGACUUUUUUCAGCAUUCCCAACUAUGGACAUUGUUAAAUUUGGGAUUGUUUUUUUGAACAUGUGAAAAAAUGUUACGACUUCACAGAUAAUUGUUGUAGCUUUAUAUUUAUUUAUUUUAAAUCCUGCAAAGUUCAAUUUCUAAAAGCAAACUUUGAAAAUUCAUUAGUUUUUGGAUAUAUAGUACGUAAUUUGUUUCUUUCAAUUUGCACCUGUCUUUGCAAUCCUGGGUGAUCCUUGGAGAGUCAUUGCAUGUCUUAAAAUUGCAAGUGUGAGUGCAGUUUGCAGAAAUCUAUAGGGCCUGUGGCUACAAAUGCAGCCCUGAUUUCCUGCUGUUCAAAAUACAUUUGUGAGAUCCAGCCUUGAGAACACAUGGAACCUCUCCUCUCUUGAAAUAAAGCCUUCCUUGUCAUCUUACCCCGAACUUAUUAACCCAAGAUAUCGGGGUCAUUCUUGGGAAUAUGAACUCUUCUUACUCUCUCCUUUACCACUUGCUUGCUUGCUUUGAAACCAUGACUAAUGCUAACAUAGAUUCCUCUCUUAAUUAAUGUUUGAAACCUUGGUUUGAUGUUAGUGUGUAACAUCUGAUUAAAAGGGAACAGGGUUAAUCUAAACUAUAGUUAGUUUUGAUACAAAUGUAAUGUGUUGAAUUAUGGUUAAGGCUAAUAAGGAAAAAGUGGAGGGAUUUUGCAUCAGAGAGGUGAGCUAAAAAGUGACCAUUUCUUUCCAGGGCUUACUCCUGAUUUACAGGUUGUGCUUUGCUGGAAAUCUGAUUUAUAAACCAUGGUUUGCUGGACUUGACUGUUAUUUUUAGUCAUCUAAUUGUGCUACAUGGUGUUCCAAAAUGUAUCUGUUUAGGGAUAUUUACAUAAAUUAUUACCUAAGGAUUAUCUUGCAUAACAUUAUGGUUUAUUGAGCUGGAGUAAAGUGAUAAUGAUAGAUUCCUUGGGAGAUGUUGCAUCCAGACAGCAACUUCCUAUGUAAUAGGGUUGCAUGAUUUACCGUAUUUUUCGCCCUAUUGGACGCACCGGCCC